Molecule: small RNA, 388 nt
Filed under: Histoplasma capsulatum var. duboisii H88
Lineage: Eukaryota; Fungi; Ascomycota; Eurotiomycetes; Onygenales; Ajellomycetaceae
Description: Histoplasma capsulatum H88 hypothetical RNA
Source: RNAcentral
CACGCAUCGGAUUCAAAGGUGGAAAAAGAACUUUGAAAAUAUUCAAAAGAAACACUCUAACCUGUUCGCGCCUCCUCCUUGGAUCAGAAACUACUUCUCACCUAAGUUAACUAAGUUAGUUAUCUUAAGAGGCGACAACAUAUUGACAUGGUUGCGCUUCUUUUGCUCCCGUGUGUCCCCACUCCCCACUCCCUCCUCAUUCCUCAUUCCUCAUUCCUCAUUCCUCCUCAAAGGUACAGAAGAAAAAGAAGAUUUGGCCUAAUGCAAUGGUUAAACGCCUUCCCUGGAGCUUAUUCGCAGUAAGCCUAUAUAACUAUUAUCUAUCAGUGCACAGUUUUGCACUCCGUAUGUAGUUUGCAUUUGCAUGACAUGACAUUGAAAUCCCCGG